RNAcentral lists this ribosomal RNA (152 nucleotides) under Rhizopus arrhizus. Its description in RNAcentral is "Rhizopus oryzae partial small subunit ribosomal RNA". The stretch from base 29 to 152 matches the Rfam family "Eukaryotic small subunit ribosomal RNA", at positions 806 to 928 of the family's 1831-position model. The record is from RNAcentral. Lineage: Eukaryota; Fungi; Mucoromycota; Mucoromycetes; Mucorales; Rhizopodaceae.
ACAUGAUUUGAGGACGUAUUACAUGAGCAGCUCAGAAUCUUGAAGGAUUUCUUUGAUCCUAUUUUCUUUGGUUUACAGUACUUCAGUAAUGAUGAAUAGAAACGGUUAGGGGCAUUUGUAUUUGGUCGCUAGAGGUGAAAUUCUUGGAUUGA